ACUAGUGAUUCGGGGUGCAGCAGGCGCGAAACCUCCGCAAUGGGCGAAAGCCCGACGGGGUCAGUCCGAGUGGCUCCCGCUAAGGGAGUCUUUUGCCAGCUGUAAACAGGCUGGUGAAUAAGGGGUGGGCAAGCCUGGUGUCAGCCGCCGCGGUAAUACCAGCACCCCGAGUGGUCGGGAUGAUUAUUGGGCCUAAAGCAUCCGUAGCCGGUGUAACAAGUCCUCCGUUAAAUCCACCUGCUUAACAGGUGGGCUGCGGAGGAUACUGUUACACUAGGAGGCGGGAGAGGCGAGGGGUAUUCCACGGGUAGGGGUAAAAUCCUCUGAUCCGUGGAGGACCACCAGUGGCGAAGGCGCCUCGCCAGAACGCGCUCGACGGUGAGGGAUGAAAGCUGGGGGAGCAAACCGGAUUAGAUACCCGGGUAGUCCCAGCCGUAAACGAUGUAGGCUCGGUGAUGGACUGGCUCCGAGCCAGUCCAGUGCCGCAGGGAAGCCGUUAAGCCUACCGCCUGGGGAGUACGGCCGCAAGGCUGAAACUUAAAGGAAUUGGCGGGGGAGCACCACAAGGGGUGAAGCCUGCGGUUCAAUUGGAGUCAACGCCGGGAAUCUUACCAGGGGCGACAGCAGGAUGAAGGUCGGGCUGAAGACCUUACCAGACGAGCUGAGAGGAGGUGCAUGGCCGUCGCCAGCUCGUGCCGUGAGGUGUCCUGUUAAGUCAGGUAACGAGCGAGACCCUCGUCCCUAAUUGCUACCAUCAUUCUCAGGAAUGGUGGGGGGAAUUAGGGAGACUGCCGUUGUUAAAACGGAGGAAGGAGAGGGCCACGGCAGGUCAGUAUGCCCCGAAACCCUUGGGCCACACGCGGGCUGCAAUGGUAGGGACAACGGGUUCCAAGCUCGGAAGAGUGAGGUAAUCCUUUAAACCCUACCCCAGUUAUGAUUGAGGGCUGGAACUCGCCCUCAUGAAUCUGGAAUCCCUAGUAAUCGCGCGUCAACAUCGCGCGGUGAAUACGUCCGUGCUCCUUGCACGAAUUCGCCGAAUCCCGCG
This 1045-nucleotide ribosomal RNA is filed under the name uncultured crenarchaeote. Its description in RNAcentral is "bacterial SSU rRNA". It matches the Rfam family "Archaeal small subunit ribosomal RNA", at positions 313 to 1364 of the family's 1478-position model. The record is from RNAcentral. Lineage: Archaea; Thermoproteati; Thermoproteota.